GUGGGGAAUAUUGGACAAUGGGCGAAAGCCUGAUCCAGCCAUGCCGCGUGUGUGAAGAAGGUCUUCGGAUUGUAAAGCACUUUAAGUUGGGAGGAAGGGCAGUAAGUUAAUACCUUGCUGUUUUGACGUUACCAACAGAAUAAGCACCGGCUAACUUCGUGCCAGCAGCCGCGGUAAUACGAAGGGUGCAAGCGUUAAUCGGAAUUACUGGGCGUAAAGCGCGCGUAGGUGGUUCAGCAAGUUGAAGGUGAAAUCCCCGGGCUCAACCUGGGAACUGCCUCCAAAACUACUGAGCUAGAGUACGGUAGAGGGUAGUGGAAUUUCCUGUGUAGCGGUGAAAUGCGUAGAUAUAGGAAGGAACACCAGUGGCGAAGGCGACUACCUGGACUGAUACUGACACUGAGGUGCGAAAGCGUGGGGAGCAAACAGGAUUAGAUACCCCAGUAGUCC
Molecule: ribosomal RNA, 450 nt
Filed under: uncultured bacterium
Lineage: Bacteria
Description: bacterial SSU rRNA
Rfam family: Bacterial small subunit ribosomal RNA
Source: RNAcentral